AACUUUUGGCUAUGUAUCUCUUGGCUCUCGCAUCGAUGAAGAACGCAGCGAAAUGCGAUAAGUAAUGUGAAUUGCAGAAUUCAGUGAAUCAUCGAAUCUUUGAACGCACCUUGCGCUCCUUGGUAUUCCGAGGAGCAUGCCUGUUUGAGUGUCAUUAAUAUAUAUAUCAAACUUCUCUUUUUGAGUGGUUUGGAUGUGGGGGUUUGCUGGCCUCUUAAUGGGUUCAGCUCUCCUGAAAUGCAUUAGCAGAACAAUCCUGUUCAUUGGUGUGAUAACUAACUACGCUAUUGGAUAUAAGGAAAAGUUCAGCUUUCUAACAGUCCUUUGGACAAUUCAUCAUUAAUGUGACCUCAAAUCAGUUAUGACUACCCGCUGAACUUAAGCAUAUCAAUAAGCGGAGGCU
RNAcentral lists this unclassified non-coding RNA (403 nucleotides) under uncultured Cortinarius. RNAcentral describes it as "sequence contains ITS2". The stretch from base 1 to 154 matches the Rfam family "5.8S ribosomal RNA". The record is from RNAcentral. Lineage: Eukaryota; Fungi; Basidiomycota; Agaricomycetes; Agaricales; Cortinariaceae.